CUAACUGUAGAAAGAGCACAUUUUUGAGAUGCCAGUACCAGCCUGGGAAGGAGCGUGCUCUUCAGCAAAAUAAUUGCCGGCUACCCGGCGGUUGUGAAGUCUCUUUUGCCACUGACUACAUAAAGACCAGAAUGUGCUCAGCUGAGAUUGAUCACUGGUGUGUGAAAUGACCAAAUUAUAACAAUGGAGAGUUUUCUGAGGAAUAGGUUCCCUAGAUGGCAACAUCAGCAGCUGGCAGCUCUGUGCUCAUUACGCCUGGGGAAAAAAGCACCAGCUUUCUCAAACCCCACUGCCUCCAGCAGCAGCGAGUAGAUGCGCUGUCAUGGGGAGGAGAUGCAAGUGGCAGCCACGCGGUAACCUCGUCUCUGGGGAGCUGGAGCAGCUGCGUGGAUCCUGCUUUGGGACAGACAGGAUUGAUGAGGGAUCGUUUAAUCACAGAUUGCCAAUACUGGAAGGCAGGCGUCCCUGCAAAGCAGAAGUUGUAG
Molecule: long non-coding RNA, 485 nt
Filed under: Anas platyrhynchos platyrhynchos (common mallard)
Lineage: Eukaryota; Metazoa; Chordata; Aves; Anseriformes; Anatidae
Description: lncRNA (ENSAPLG00000025259.1)
Source: RNAcentral